CAAAAUAUGAACUAGCAUUCAUUGAACUAAACAUCUAGGACUUGGUUCUCUUUCUUCUUUGACACUUGCUGCUUAUUUUUCUUCUUUAAACCAAGUGUUUUGGUAGGUGGUCUUGGAGGUGGGAGCUCAUCUCUGCAGCUGGCAAUGAAUUGACUCUCGGGUAGAGGACCUGGUGGUGCAGUUUGAGAUUGUUGUGUCGCUAUUGCCUGCAAACCAAGUGUACAUGAGAAUUCAGCAAUAAAAGAUAAAUUUAAUACCAAACAAUUGACUCACUUGUUCCUGUAGAACAUGAAUCACACUAGAUGACGUGACACU
This 315-nucleotide long non-coding RNA is filed under the name Hordeum vulgare. RNAcentral describes it as "long non-coding RNA (HVUL_LNC002843)". Lineage: Eukaryota; Viridiplantae; Streptophyta; Magnoliopsida; Poales; Poaceae. The record is from RNAcentral.